Cinara cedri is the source of this 325-nucleotide non-coding RNA. The record is from the annotation of a GenBank genome assembly. NCBI's taxonomy places the organism in Eukaryota, Metazoa, Arthropoda, Insecta, Hemiptera, Aphididae.
AGUAAUUACAAAUGAUAUUAGACAGAAAACAAUAUCGUGGAAAACCUUUGGCCCAACCAAAAGUGGAAGGAGGAAGAAUACCGAUCUGGAGGUUUUAUUCUAGGAUAGGACACUACAUACAGUCAGUGUUUAAAGAGGAAAAACCAUCGAAGCGGAAAAACAAAUGGAUAAAAAAUAGGAUGAUAGAGCAUUGGGUUUGCAUGGUACGGUUCUCAUUGCCCUAUAAAUCAGAGAUAAAGACGAUAGUGAUUAAUUAACGUAAGUGGUAAGCCCGGGGAUGUUCAAUAGAUGGGUUAGCAAAUAUUAACCAUGAAAAAACCGUAGA